GACGAACGCUGGCGGCGUGCCUAAUACAUGCAAGUAGAACGCUGAAGAGAGGAGCUUGCUCUUCUUGGAUGAGUUGCGAACGGGUGAGUAACGCGUAGGUAACCUGCCUUGUAGCGGGGGAUAACUAUUGGAAACGAUAGCUAAUACCGCAUAACAAUGGAUGACACAUGUCAUUUAUUUGAAAGGGGCAAUUGCUCCACUACAAGAUGGACCUGCGUUGUAUUAGCUAGUAGGUGAGGUAAUGGCUCACCUAGGCGACGAUACAUAGCCGACCUGAGAGGGUGAUCGGCCACACUGGGACUGAGACACGGCCCAGACUCCUACGGGAGGCAGCAGUAGGGAAUCUUCGGCAAUGGGGGCAACCCUGACCGAGCAACGCCGCGUGAGUGAAGAAGGUUUUCGGAUCGUAAAGCUCUGUUGUAAGUCAAGAACGGGUGUGAGAGUGGAAAGUUCACACUGUGACGGUAGCUUACCAGAAAGGGACGGCUAACUACGUGCCAGCAGCCGCGGUAAUACGUAGGUCCCGAGCGUUGUCCGGAUUUAUUGGGCGUAAAGCGAGCGCAGGCGGUUUGAUAAGUCUGAAGUUAAAGGCUGUGGCUCAACCAUAGUUCGCUUUGGAAACUGUCAAACUUGAGUGCAGAAGGGGAGAGUGGAAUUCCAUGUGUAGCGGUGAAAUGCGUAGAUAUAUGGAGGAACACCGGUGGCGAAAGCGGCUCUCUGGUCUGUAACUGACGCUGAGGCUCGAAAGCGUGGGGAGCGAACAGGAUUAGAUACCCUGGUAGUCCACGCCGUAAACGAUGAGUGCUAGGUGUUGGAUCCUUUCCGGGAUUCAGUGCCGCAGCUAACGCAUUAAGCACUCCGCCUGGGGAGUACGACCGCAAGGUUGAAACUCAAAGGAAUUGACGGGGGCCCGCACAAGCGGUGGAGCAUGUGGUUUAAUUCGAAGCAACGCGAAGAACCUUACCAGGUCUUGACAUCCCGAUGCUAUUUCUAGAGAUAGAAAGUUACUUCGGUACAUCGGUGACAGGUGGUGCAUGGUUGUCGUCAGCUCGUGUCGUGAGAUGUUGGGUUAAGUCCCGCAACGAGCGCAACCCCUAUUGUUAGUUGCCAUCAUUCAGUUGGGCACUCUAGCGAGACUGCCGGUAAUAAACCGGAGGAAGGUGGGGAUGACGUCAAAUCAUCAUGCCCCUUAUGACCUGGGCUACACACGUGCUACAAUGGUUGGUACAACGAGUUGCGAGUCGGUGACGGCGAGCUAAUCUCUUAAAGCCAAUCUCAGUUCGGAUUGUAGGCUGCAACUCGCCUACAUGAAGUCGGAAUCGCUAGUAAUCGCGGAUCAGCACGCCGCGGUGAAUACGUUCCCGGGCCUUGUACACACCGCCCGUCACACCACGAGAGUUUGUAACACCCGAAGUCGGUGAGGUAA
Molecule: ribosomal RNA, 1426 nt
Filed under: Streptococcus thermophilus
Lineage: Bacteria; Bacillati; Bacillota; Bacilli; Lactobacillales; Streptococcaceae
Description: bacterial SSU rRNA
Rfam family: Bacterial small subunit ribosomal RNA
Source: RNAcentral